Molecule: ribosomal RNA, 534 nt
Filed under: Triticum aestivum (bread wheat)
Lineage: Eukaryota; Viridiplantae; Streptophyta; Magnoliopsida; Poales; Poaceae
Description: partial small subunit ribosomal RNA
Source: RNAcentral
AUGGAGACCCUUUCAAACCUCACCUCUCUCGCCCGAUUAAGCAUAUAUGGUUGCGGAGAGGAUUUAAGAUGCGAGGGCCUGUUGCCUCUCCUUACUCGGGGCCAGCUCAGCCAUUUAGAUGUCCAACGAAUCCCCAAUUUCUUUGGUGCGUGGGACCCUAUGUGGGGGAUGCAGGAGGAGCAAAAUAAGAGGACAGAAUCCAAACUGCAGUAUCUCGAGACAGAUGAGGCCUUAUUUGCGGACCAAGAGAUUGCGCGCUUCACAAAGGAGCAGGAGGAGGCCUUUCACCACCUCACCUCGCUCCAGCAACUGAGGUUUUGGAGAUGCGACAAGCUGCAACACCUCCCUGCAGGGCUAAACAAGCUGCAGCACCUCAAAAGAUUAGGGAUCUGGAGGUGUCCAGCCCUCCGGUCGCUGCCCAAGGAAGGCCUCCCGAGUUCACUACGAGAAUUAGAUGUCGAGGAUUGCGGUACCAAGGAGCUAACAGAGCACUGCAAGCAAUUAAGGGGAACCAUCCCAAAAGUCACACUAUAG